AAACUAAAUGGGAUUCCUUAUGUAAUGGCGAAUGACCAAGGAUGUGAUUAUGUUGUCAAGCAGGCCUUGGUCCUGCAUUGCACAGUGAUGGUGAAAUGCCAGCAGAAAGGUGUAUGUGAUUUUCUGGGUGGUCCAGCAUAGUAGGUGAAACUCCUUCUGUGGAUGCAUCGAUUUCUGCAUAGAGCAUGCACCCCUGAGUCGUGCUUCUUGGGACUGAAGUGCAAAUGUGAUGGUAAGGCUCAUCUAAAUCUCAAUAUUGACUUGAGGCCAAUAGUAAAUAAGUACCAUGAGGGAACUGUGAAAAGAACUUUGAGAAGAGAGUUAAAAGUCCUUGAAACUGCUGUGGGUGAAAGCAAAUGGGAGUUUGAGAAGCAGCAAGGUUGCUGUGUCAUUGAAUGUCAACCCUGCUAUGAGCUUCGUACUGUGGGGUGUGGCACCUUUGUCACUGUGUUCCUUGCUCUGUCUGCUUACACUCUGCCUUUGCACAUGUGCGAAUUGUUGGGGAUUGCUAGCGUUAUGCUGCAAGCUGAUGUGCAGACAUGGCAAAUGGCUGAAUGUAUCGAUGCAAAUCAGCAGCUGCACUGUGCCUUGCAUGUGCAGCUGCAUCAUCUGUAUUGUCUUGCUGGAAGGUCCAUUUGACCCGUCUUGAAACACGGACCAAGGAGUCUAAUGCUUGUGUAAGUAUGUGGUUUGAUUACCAUCAUGUGUAAUUGAUUUGGUGUUUGGGAUGUUUGCACCAACAGCCAACCAAUUGACUGAAAGAGGUUUGAGGUUGAACAUGAGUCUUAGGACCCGAAAGAUGGUGAGCUAUGCCUGGGCAAUAUGAAUUCAGAGGAAACUCUGGUGGAAGUUUGCAGCGCUACUGACGUGCAAAUCGUUCGUCAAAUCUGGGUAUAGGGGCGAAAGACUAAUCGA
RNAcentral lists this ribosomal RNA (915 nucleotides) under Gonyaulax spinifera. RNAcentral's name for it is "LSU rRNA". It matches the Rfam family "Eukaryotic large subunit ribosomal RNA", at positions 62 to 938 of the family's 3401-position model. Lineage: Eukaryota; Dinophyceae; Gonyaulacales; Gonyaulacaceae. The record is from RNAcentral.